Non-coding RNA from Acidiferrobacter thiooxydans, 311 nucleotides. The record is from Rfam. NCBI's taxonomy places the organism in Bacteria, Pseudomonadati, Pseudomonadota, Gammaproteobacteria, Acidiferrobacterales, Acidiferrobacteraceae.
GUCAACUACCCCGCCCUAAAGGACGGAGCUUGGAGGUAACAACCGAAAAGUUGGGUUGACCAGGGAGCACAGGAUGGUUCUGUGCAGACGUCAGCAAUAGGUCGUUACGACCCACUCCGGGAUGCUUCCUCAGUCCCGGACACUGGAAGGGUGGGAUCAUGCUGCGGAAAGGUAAAGCCGCGAAGGUUCCAUCCGCUCUCGCGUAGGCCAUACCCCCACACAAAGGGGGUUGUCCACGGCCCACAGGCCAUAGCGGCCUGCAAUGCAAUGAGAGAGGAGCCGGUUGCUGACCAUCCCGAGGGGAGAGACCC